Prinia subflava (tawny-flanked prinia) is the source of this 658-nucleotide long non-coding RNA. RefSeq lists it as uncharacterized. The record is from RefSeq and is a predicted model, not a curated record. NCBI's taxonomy places the organism in Eukaryota, Metazoa, Chordata, Aves, Passeriformes, Cisticolidae. The transcript has 3 exons.
GGCUCGGAUUGGCCGGGCCGGCGCUGCCUCAGGUUGUGAUUGGCUGGGCUGGUCCGGCCCUGGCUAUAAAUAGCGUACCCUGAGGGGUGCAGCCGUUAGUUUAGCGGCGGAGUUGAGGGAGGCUGCUGGUGGUGCGCGGUCUGAGGAGCGCCGCUGCUGCAGAUCGGGAGAGUCCCGCCCCGGGUGCAGCAGUAGAGAAGCAGUAGCAGCUUUUAGCUGCAGGCAGUGGGAAGCUGAGGAGCUGGAGCUGAGGCAGCAGAGCUGGAGAAGACACAGAGAUGAGCUGGAGCUGAAUCCUCACAACUGGAGCCGAAAAAAAAACCCUGUUGUCUCAGCCUGGAGCAGCUACACCUGGCCGACUGGGAGAAAAGAGGAUCUGGAGCUGGAAAAACUGAGCUGGCAGUGAAAUAAAGCUUGUGGGUCAAGAGCUGAAAUCACUGGGGCUGAGAAGGGCACUCUAGGUCUCGACCUGAAAUCACUGGAGCGGUGAGGUGGGGACUGCAAAUGGCAUAGAACCUGUAGGGCAGAUGCAGACACUGUAGGAUUCGUGUGCUGAAAUUACUGUAGGCCUGUGAUAUUGAUGUUUGCACUGGGUAUUGUGACUGGAAAGAGAUUGCUGUAAGAUUGUGUCUGAAAUCCCGGCAGUGCUGGGAUAUUU